Molecule: ribosomal RNA, 561 nt
Filed under: uncultured bacterium
Lineage: Bacteria
Description: bacterial SSU rRNA
Rfam family: Bacterial small subunit ribosomal RNA
Source: RNAcentral
CCUACGGGAGGCAGCAGUGGGGAAUAUUGGACAAUGGGCGAAAGCCUGAUCCAGCAAUGCCGCGUGAGUGAUGAAGGCCUUAGGGUUGUAAAGCUCUUUUACCAGGGAUGAUAAUGACAGUACCUGGAGAAUAAGCUCCGGCUAACUCCGUGCCAGCAGCCGCGGUAAUACGGAGGGAGCUAGCGUUGUUCGGAAUUACUGGGCGUAAAGCGUACGUAGGCGGUUAUUCAAGUCAGAGGUGAAAGCCCGGGGCUCAACCCCGGAACGGCCUUUGAAACUAGGUAGCUAGAGUCUUGGAGAGGUUAGUGGAAUUCCGAGUGUAGAGGUGAAAUUCGUAGAUAUUCGGAAGAACACCAGUGGCGAAGGCGACUAACUGGACAAGUACUGACGCUGAGGUACGAAAGCGUGGGGAGCAAACAGGAUUAGAUACCCUGGUAGUCCACGCCGUAAACGAUGAUAACUAGCUGUUCGGGCACUUGGUGCCUGAGUGGCGCAGCUAACGCAUUAAGUUAUCCGCCUGGGGAGUACGGUCGCAAGAUUAAAACUCAAAUGAAUUGACGG